AUGCUUGCAGUGUGCCAAAGGCAGUGAUGCAUUUUCUGGUGAACCAUGUGAAAGACACUCUGCAGAGCGAGCUGGUCGGCCAGCUGUAUAAAUCCCUCUUGUUGGAUGACCUUCUGACAGAGUCUGAGGACAUGGCACAGCGCAGAAAAGAGGCAGCUGAUAUGCUAAAGGCCCUGCAGCGAGCCAGUCAGAUCAUUGCAGAGAUCCGUGAGACACAUCUGUGGUGAAGACUGUACCGGCCAUGCUAUUUAUAUGCAUUGGAGGUUACACUGACUUGACAAUUGCUAGGCAUGGUAUACGGAGUAGAAUUUUUAUUUAUGAACUCUUUCUGUGUACUGCAACUGUGUAAAUCUGCUCUUGUAAGGACAGUUGGUUUGAUUUGCAAACAAGCAUAUGCUGUAUUUUGCAAAAUAUGACAUAUUUAAUCCAUAUAAUAAAUGGCUCUAGAUGUUUCCUUACCAGCUUUCUGGUGCAAAUUAAAGCAGACCAAGUCUACUGUCUCAGCGACAGCCUCAUUUGAACUUCGGGAAAAACAUUAAAGUUCCAGUGCCUGACUUGCUAAACAGGUUGCCUGUGGUUAAGAUGGACGAUGUAGUCUUGUGGCAUAGUUUUAAGCUGCUUUUACAAUAGAAGUUUAAAUACUGUGAAGAGAAGAGAGCACUGAGUAUUUUCUUUCAUGAAUAUAUUGCAUGCACUAUGACAGAUGGAGGUAUCAAUUUUAUAGUACAGUAGAGAUGUCUACCGUAUUACUAUGUGUGUGUAUCCCUAUUUUUUCCCCAAAUGUCAAACUGCAGACAAAACUUUGAACUUCAUUUAAUGGAGCAUCGUGUAGGAAGAAUUAGCCUGGAGCUUGCGAACAAUAACAGCCUACUAAGAAGUGGGUGCAGAGUUAUUAAUGUGCACUGGAGCUUGUGUAUAAAUGUUGGGGGUUAUAAUCAGGUACAGGAACAUCUUCCCCUUCCUCCCCCCUGGGACCAAGCCCCUGGACCAUCCAAGAGUAAACUUGUUCUGGCAGAACUGAAAAA
Molecule: long non-coding RNA, 1025 nt
Organism: Chaetura pelagica (chimney swift)
Lineage: Eukaryota; Metazoa; Chordata; Aves; Apodiformes; Apodidae
Exons: 2
Source: RefSeq, a predicted model, not a curated record